AAGUCGAGCGGACAGAUGGGAGCUUGCUCCCUGAUGUUAGCGGCGGACGGGUGAGUAACACGUGGGUAACCUGCCUGUAAGACUGGGAUAACUCCGGGAAACCGGGGCUAAUACCGGAUGGUUGUUUGAACCGCAUGGUUCAGACAUAAAAGGUGGCUUCGGCUACCACUUACAGAUGGACCCGCGGCGCAUUAGCUAGUUGGUGAGGUAACGGCUCACCAAGGCGACGAUGCGUAGCCGACCUGAGAGGGUGAUCGGCCACACUGGGACUGAGACACGGCCCAGACUCCUACGGGAGGCAGCAGUAGGGAAUCUUCCGCAAUGGACGAAAGUCUGACGGAGCAACGCCGCGUGAGUGAUGAAGGUUUUCGGAUCGUAAAGCUCUGUUGUUAGGGAAGAACAAGUGCCGUUCAAAUAGGGCGGCACCUUGACGGUACCUAACCAGAAAGCCACGGCUAACUACGUGCCAGCAGCCGCGGUAAUACGUAGGUGGCAAGCGUUGUCCGGAAUUAUUGGGCGUAAAGGGCUCGCAGGCGGUUUCUUAAGUCUGAUGUGAAAGCCCCCGGCUCAACCGGGGAGGGUCAUUGGAAACUGGGGAACUUGAGUGCAGAAGAGGAGAGUGGAAUUCCACGUGUAGCGGUGAAAUGCGUAGAGAUGUGGAGGAACACCAGUGGCGAAGGCGACUCUCUGGUCUGUAACUGACGCUGAGGAGCGAAAGCGUGGGGAGCGAACAGGAUUAGAUACCCUGGUAGUCCACGCCGUAAACGAUGAGUGCUAAGUGUUAGGGGGUUUCCGCCCCU
RNAcentral lists this ribosomal RNA (800 nucleotides) under Bacillus amyloliquefaciens. RNAcentral's name for it is "bacterial SSU rRNA". It matches the Rfam family "Bacterial small subunit ribosomal RNA", at positions 59 to 841 of the family's 1533-position model. The record is from RNAcentral. Lineage: Bacteria; Bacillati; Bacillota; Bacilli; Caryophanales; Bacillaceae.